AUUGAACGCUGGCGGCAGGCCUAACACAUGCAAGUCGAACGGUAACAGCAAACAUCUUGCUGUUUCGCUGACGAGUGGCUGACGGGUUAGUCAUGUCUUGGAAACUGCCUGAUGGAGGGGGAUAACUACUGGAAACGGUAGCUAAUACCGCAUAACGUCGCACUUCCAAUGAGGGGGACCUUCGUGCCUCUUGCCAUCGGAUGUGCCCCUAUGGGAUUAGCUAGUAGGUGGGGGACCGGCUCACCUAGGCGACGAUCGCUAGCUGGUCUGAGAGGAUGAACAGAUAGACGGGAAGUGAGAAAGGGCAGAGACACUUACGGGAGGCAGCAGUGGGGAAUAUUGCGCAAUGGGGGAAAGGCUGAUGCAGGAAUGCGGGGGGUAUGAAGAAGGAGUAAGGGUGGUAAAGUAAUGUCAGCGGGGAGGAAGGGAGGAAAGUUAAUACGUGUAGUCAUUGACGGUACCGGGAGAAGAAGCACCGGCUAACUCCGUG
This 490-nucleotide ribosomal RNA is filed under the name uncultured bacterium. RNAcentral describes it as "partial 16S ribosomal RNA". It matches the Rfam family "Bacterial small subunit ribosomal RNA", at positions 29 to 507 of the family's 1533-position model. The record is from RNAcentral.